This is a long non-coding RNA of Phascolarctos cinereus (koala), 523 nucleotides long. RefSeq lists it as uncharacterized. Lineage: Eukaryota; Metazoa; Chordata; Mammalia; Diprotodontia; Phascolarctidae. The record is from RefSeq and is a predicted model, not a curated record.
UGUUUUGUGUUGUCUUAGGCAUGCACUAAUAAUGAAAAUAUAUGCAUAUGUGAAUUAGAUUUUCACCCCCCAGCAUGUGCUGUAAGGAAAAGUAGAAUCAUUCAGUAUCUUUCACCGUGGAGAAGAGGCUCUUUCAAUGGCAGAGCUACAGAGUAUCCUAGGAAGAACUGGCUGCUUAUAAGUUUCUACAUUUCUCUACCUAUUCUUUUCAUUAUAGCCAUAAUAACUGUUAAAUGGAAAUCUCUGAAGGGAUGCUUAUCUCCAAAGGAAUCACCAAUUACUGAAUCUGGAUCAGAAUUCAGUACAUAUUCAUAUAGCAGUAGCAGUGAACAUAGUACCUAAGAUGCCAAAAGCAAAGGUCUGGAGAAAAGAAAUUACAAUUUACUGCAUCAGAAGUGAGACUAAUAGAACAAAGGAAAAGUCUUCCAUUCUUCUGACACUCCCCCUUUCCCUUGCCAAUCCAUGGUUUGCCCCUUUUGAAGAUAUUCAUUACAGUAAACUGAAUUUUUGGAACCAUUGUGAA